CAGCCGCCGCGGGAAUACGCAGGGGGCUAGCGUUGCUCGGAAUUACUGGGCGUAAAGGGAGCGUAGGCGGGUCGUUUAGUCAGAGGUGAAAUCCCGGGGCUCAACCUCGGAACUGCCUUUGAUACUGGCGACCUUGAGUAUGGGAGAGGUAAGCGGAACUCCGAGUGUAGAGGUGAAAUUCGUAGAUAUUCGGAAGAACACCAGUGGCGAAGGCGGCUUACUGGCCCAUUACUGACGCUGAGGCUCGAAAGCGUGGGGAGCAAACAGGAUUAGAUACCCCCGUAGUCCCUGUCUCUUAUAC
RNAcentral lists this ribosomal RNA (301 nucleotides) under uncultured bacterium. RNAcentral's name for it is "partial 16S ribosomal RNA". It matches the Rfam family "Bacterial small subunit ribosomal RNA", at positions 509 to 807 of the family's 1533-position model. The record is from RNAcentral.